RNAcentral lists this ribosomal RNA (241 nucleotides) under uncultured bacterium. RNAcentral's name for it is "partial 16S ribosomal RNA". It matches the Rfam family "Bacterial small subunit ribosomal RNA", at positions 524 to 765 of the family's 1533-position model. The record is from RNAcentral.
UACGAAGGGGGCUAGCGUUGUUCGGAUUUACUGGGCGUAAAGCGCACGUAGGCGGAUUGUUAAGUGAGGGGUGAAAUCCUGGAGCUCAACUCCAGAACUGCCUUUCAUACUGGCAAUCUAGAGUCCGGAAGAGGUAAGUGGAACUCCUAGUGUAGAGGUGGAAUUCGUAGAUAUUAGGAAGAACACCAGUGGCGAAGGCGGCUUCUGGUCUGAUACUGACGCUGAGGCGACGAAGCGAUGG